Molecule: ribosomal RNA, 518 nt
Filed under: uncultured Glomus
Lineage: Eukaryota; Fungi; Glomeromycota; Glomeromycetes; Glomerales; Glomeraceae
Description: SSU rRNA
Rfam family: Eukaryotic small subunit ribosomal RNA
Source: RNAcentral
CGCAGCCGCGGUAAUUCCAGCUCCAAUAGCGUAUAUUAAAGUUGUUGCAGUUAAAAAGCUCGUAGUUGAAUUUCGGGAUUAGUACGUUGGUCGUGCCUUAGGUACGUACUGGUGUUACUGGCUCCUACCUUCUGACGAACCAUCAUGUCAUUAAUCUGGUGUGGCGGGGAAUCAGGACUGUUACUUUGAAAAAUUAGAGUGUUUAAAGCAGGCUCGCGCUUGAAUACAUUAGCAUGGAAUAAUGAAAUAGGACGUUGACCCUAUUUUGUUGGUUUCUAGGAUUGACGUAAUGAUUAAUAGGGAUAGUUGGGGGCAUUAGUAUUCAAUUGUCAGAGGUGAAAUUCUUGGAUUUAUUGAAGACUAACUACUGCGAAAGCAUUUGCCAAGGAUGUUUUCAUUAAUCAAGAACGAAAGUUAGGGGAUCGAAGACGAUCAGAUACCGUCGUAGUCUUAACCAUAAACUAUGCCGACUAGGGAUCGGAUGAUGUUAUUUUUAAUGACUCAUUCGGCGCCUUACG